Molecule: long non-coding RNA, 723 nt
Organism: Cyprinus carpio carpio
Lineage: Eukaryota; Metazoa; Chordata; Actinopteri; Cypriniformes; Cyprinidae
Source: Ensembl
GGAAACUUCUGACCACAGAAAUGUGAACUCUGCUGGGGGCUUUCUAAAUGCCUUUUUCUAUUUUCAUUCUUACAGGGUGGUUGCAAACUGAGAAAUAGGUUGGGCUCAAAGUCCAAAACCACAAGUGCAAGUUGCAUCAAGCCUGUGCAAACUACAAACAACAGAACAGUUGCUCACAUUUCUUUUGUUCACAAAGGUCUUUUUGUUCCUCUAAAUGUAAGCAUUCUACUGUAUGGAGGUCUUUGAGCCCAUUCUGGUGCAUCAGAAUAAGACGUGGGAUGAAGCCCUGAACUACUGCAGACAGAACUACAUUGACCUGCCUGGUCUGUGGAGGGGGAACCCCAGUGCCCUGCUAGAAACCUGCGCUGUGGAGCUCUGGAUAGGAGGAGGAAUAUUUGCCAAACCAAAGACUGUGAGGAGACACUCAACUUUGUCUGCCUUAGGAAUCCAUAAAUGUUCUUCAUAUCACAAAUUUUACAUAUUGUUCAUAUUUUGUAAAUAUUUGCAGUCACAAAUAAUGGCUUCAUUUAUAAGCAGCAAUAACUUGACUCUCUUGAUUGAAUACCUACUGAAAUUUGGAGUUUUUACCAAAAUUGAAAUGAUCCGUUGUUUCCUUUUCUAGAUUUGUCUUGGGUUUCUCUAAACAUUUGUUAAUCAAAUAUACAACUGACACUGAUUGGCCUGUGCCUUUUUUAUUGAUUUAUUUAAAAAAUAAAAUGGAGA